GUCUACAGCCAUACCACCUAAUGCGCCUGAUCUCAGAAGCUAAGUGGGAUCGGGCCUGGUUAGUACUUGGAUCAGAGAAAAGGCUGAAUUUAAACAUAAUUAUAGGUAAUAGUAAAAU
Ribosomal RNA from Cercocebus atys (sooty mangabey), 118 nucleotides. The record is from Ensembl. NCBI's taxonomy places the organism in Eukaryota, Metazoa, Chordata, Mammalia, Primates, Cercopithecidae.